This 373-nucleotide ribosomal RNA is filed under the name uncultured organism. RNAcentral describes it as "partial 16S ribosomal RNA". It matches the Rfam family "Bacterial small subunit ribosomal RNA", at positions 527 to 896 of the family's 1533-position model. The record is from RNAcentral.
GUAGGUGGCAAGCGUUGUCCGGAAUUAUUGGGCGUAAAGCGCGCGCAGGUGGUUCUUUAAGUCUGAUGUGAAAGCCCCCGGCUCAACCGGGGAGGGUCAUUGGAAACUGGGGAACUUGAGUGCAGGAGAGGAAAGUGGAAUUCCACGUGUAGCGGUGAAAUGCGUAGAUAUGUGGAGGAACACCAGUGGCGAAGGCGACUUUCUGGCCUGUAACUGACACUGAGGCGCGAAAGCGUGGGGAGCAAACAGGGAUUAGAUACCCUGGUAGUCCACGCCGUAAACGAUGAGUGCUAAGUGUUGGGGGGGUUUCCCGCCCCUCAGUGCUGCAGCUAACGCAUUAAGCACUCCGCCUGGGGAUACGGUCGCAAGACUA